UGAGGCACCUGGCAGGGGAGAUCCCAGGAUCGCUGAGGUGGCUGGCUUUCCCAGGGUGAGGCCUGUCCCUUGCUCUCUGGGCAGGCUGACCCCUGAGUAUUUCCCCAGUGCAGGAAACUUGACUGCAUAAUUUUGUGGUAAUGGGAAACUGCAUUUGUGCUUUCUCCCU
Small nuclear RNA from Crocodylus porosus (Australian saltwater crocodile), 169 nucleotides. Its record names the gene U1. It matches the Rfam family "U1 spliceosomal RNA". Rfam says of the family: U1 is a small nuclear RNA (snRNA) component of the spliceosome (involved in pre-mRNA splicing). Its 5' end forms complementary base pairs with the 5' splice junction, thus defining the 5' donor site of an intron. There are significant differences in sequence and secondary structure between metazoan and yeast U1 snRNAs, the latter being much longer (568 nucleotides as compared to 164 nucleotides in human). NCBI's taxonomy places the organism in Eukaryota, Metazoa, Chordata, Crocodylia, Crocodylidae. The record is from Ensembl.